This 76-nucleotide small RNA is filed under the name Arabidopsis thaliana (thale cress). Its description in RNAcentral is "ATSL027590". Lineage: Eukaryota; Viridiplantae; Streptophyta; Magnoliopsida; Brassicales; Brassicaceae. The record is from RNAcentral.
UUUUUUAUCGCAAGUUUCCGUUAUAAUAUUGACGGUUAUUUUACCUGGUUGUUUCUUUUAAUCGCAUAUUUUUGUU